UGGGGAAUAUUGGACAAUGGGCGAAAGCCUGAUCCAGCCAUGCCGCGUGUGUGAAGAAGGUCUUCGGAUUGUAAAGCACUUUAAGUUGGGAGGAAUGGCAGUAAGCGAAUACCUUGCUGUUUUGACGUUACCGACAGAAUAAGCACCGGCUAACUCUGUGCCAGCAGCCGCGGUAAUACUGAGGGUGCAAGCGUUAAUCGGAAUUACUGGGCGUAAAGCGCGCGUAGGUGGUUCGUUAAGUUGAAUGUGAAAGCCCCGGGCUCAACCUGGGAACUGCAUCCAAAACUGGCGAGCUAGAGUAGGGCAGAGGGUGGUGGAAUUUCCUGUGUAGCGGUGAAAUGCGUAGAUAUAGGAAGGAACACCAGUGGCGAAGGCGACCACCUGGGCUCAUACUGACACUGAGGUGCGAAAGCGUGGGGAGCAAACAGG
RNAcentral lists this ribosomal RNA (429 nucleotides) under Pseudomonadota bacterium. RNAcentral's name for it is "Proteobacteria bacterium partial 16S ribosomal RNA". It matches the Rfam family "Bacterial small subunit ribosomal RNA", at positions 355 to 776 of the family's 1533-position model. The record is from RNAcentral. Lineage: Bacteria; Pseudomonadati; Pseudomonadota.